AUUGAACGCUGGCGGCAUGCUUUACACAUGCAAGUCGAACGGUAACAGGUCUUCGGAUGCUGACGAGUGGCGAACGGGUGAGUAAUGCAUCGGAACGUGCCCCAGUCGUGGGGGAGUAACGCAGCGAAAGCUGCGCUAAUACCGCAUACGAUCUAUGGAUGAAAGACGGGGGACCGGUAAGGCCUCGCGCGAUUGGAGCGGCCGAUGUCAGAUUAGGUAGUUGGUGGGGUAAAGGGCUCACCAAGCCAACGAUCUGUAGCUGGUCUGAGAGGACGACCAGCCACACUGGGACUGAGACACGGCCCAGACUCCUACGGGAGGCAGCAGUGGGGGAAUUUUGGACAAUGGGCGCAAGCCUGAUCCAGCAAUGCCGCGUGCAGGAAGAAGGCCUUC
RNAcentral lists this ribosomal RNA (393 nucleotides) under uncultured bacterium. RNAcentral's name for it is "bacterial SSU rRNA". It matches the Rfam family "Bacterial small subunit ribosomal RNA", at positions 30 to 419 of the family's 1533-position model. The record is from RNAcentral.